GAUGAACGCUAGCUACAGGCUUAACACAUGCAAGUCGAGGGGAAACGAUAUUGGAAGCUUGCUUCCGAUAGGCGUCGACCGGCGCACGGGUGAGUAACGCGUAUCCAACCUGCCCACCACUUGGGGAUAACCUUGCGAAAGUAAGACUAAUACCCAAUGACGUCCAUAGAAGACAUCUGAAAUGGAUUAAAGAUUUAUCGGUGAUGGAUGGGGAUGCGUCUGAUUAGCUUGUUGGCAGGGUAACGGCCCACCAAGGCGACGAUCAGUAGGGGUUCUGGGAGGAAGGUCCCCCACAUGGGAACUGAGACACGGUCCAAACUCCUACGGGAGGCAGCAGUGAGGAAUAUUGGUCAAUGGGCUAGAGCCUGAACCAGCCAAGUAGCGUGCAGUAUGACGGCCCUAUGGGUUGUAAACUGCUUUUAUAAGGGAAUAAAGUGAGUCUCGUGAGGCUUUUUGCAUGUGCCUUAAGAAUAAGGACCGGCUAAUUCCGUGCCAGCAGCCGCGGUAA
RNAcentral lists this ribosomal RNA (508 nucleotides) under uncultured bacterium. Its description in RNAcentral is "partial 16S ribosomal RNA". It matches the Rfam family "Bacterial small subunit ribosomal RNA", at positions 28 to 523 of the family's 1533-position model. The record is from RNAcentral.